AUUGCUCAAACUUAUUAGCCGAUGGUAACAUGAUGUAACGAUAUGGCAAUAUCUUGCUCAGAAUGUCAAGCAUUAAUAAAUAAAUAAGCAAAGAAAACCUGAUCCCUUCUACUUAACAGUGUGGGAAUAACCACGCUCUUCACUUUUAGAGUUCUUCUUUUUAUGUUGUUAUAUGGUAAAUUGAUAUAUGAUUCCACUUGUAUGCUCAUCUUAAUCAUUUGAAAUGAUAUAAAGGAUCUUGUUUUCUUUCUCUAAAAUCCAUGAUCAUUUUAAGGUCUUUUAAUUGAGCUUAUCUGCUCAAUUUCAAAUCAUUCAGCUUUUAGCUAGUAGUUAAAUCUAAUAAGAUCAGAUAUUUAACUCUAAUAAUUUAUUUUCCUUUAAAGAUUUUAUGAAACUUUCAAAUAGUAGGUGAUGCAAUGUAUACAUUAUACAAACAAAAAUUGAAAAAUUUAGAGUUUAACCACUUUUAUAUGCAAGUUUUCGUUCUUAUGAUAAGUGCAUAAACAUGACUAUUACGUAAUCUACGACCUAUUAAAUUUCCGUAGAUAAAAAAAUCUAACAGUUUAUUAGACGACUUUAAAAUAAGAAUGGAAACUUAAAAAAAGAAUAUUUUUGUAACUUCUUUUCAAAUUUUUUUAUUUAUAUGAUUUUUUUUUAAAUUCUUGUCUGAAAAAGAUAAUAAAGAUAUACCUAAAAUACAUCGAAAGGAUAUUAUUUUUAAUUUGUAUAAUUGUAAAAUUAGUUUUAUUUUUUUAUUAUCAUUUAUUAUAUUUUAAUCAGAACUCCAACUCCUAAUUUUACGCGAUGAAAUAACCAAUGAGCCCAAGCUGAUUAAUUAGUAUUUUCAGUUUUUAUAUAUAUACACACACAUAUAAGUUCCCUUGCAUUGAUCACAAUCCAAACACAAUGGAGAAAACAAUGAAACAUCUAAUAUCAACUUCCUUCUUCAUUAUCAUUCUCAGUUUUCUGAAUAAUUCUGUAUCAUAUGAACUAUCAUUAGAAUUUGUUUCUGCUCCUGCUACCAAGCACUUUGUGCUACUACAUGGUGCAGGCAGUGGUGCCUGGUGUUGGUACAAGCUUAUACCAAUGCUAAGAUCAUAUGGCUACAAUGUUACAGCCGUCGACUUAGCGGCUUCUGAAAUUAACCCACUACAAAUUAGAGAUAUUCAAAUAAUAUCUGGUUAUUUUCAGCCCUUGGUAGAACUAAUUGCAUCCCUACCAGCAAAUAAAAGAGUUAUUUUUAUUGGUCAUAGGUUUAUAUAUAUAUAUAUAUAUAUAUAUAUAGAACUUUUAUUUGUAUGCAAAUAAUUUAAUGUUUCUGUAGGAUUGGACACUGGCAACAACAUUGGUAAGAACAUCACCUCUUCCUAGUUGAGAAGAUUUCUUAUUGGGACAACUAAAUGUAACGAGGAAAAAAUAUGGAACGGUUUAAAGAAUUUUUAUAAUUCCAGAAAAAGAUUUAAUAAUACUAAAAAAGUUUCAAAAAAUUGAUGAUUCGAGGAAAUCCGCCCAACUAAGUGGAAAAAAAAUAAAUUAAAAUCUGAUUAUUUAAUUAUAAUAUCUAAACCUGGAGAGUUUCGAGCUAUUUUGUUACGAAUUGCUCAAAAAUAUUGAGCAGCUACUAUUACCUUUUAAAUUAAUAAAUAAAUAACAUGUUAAUUAUCAUAUACACCAAAAUAAAAAGAGUAAAAAAAACCACAACUCUCCAAGUACAAGCAAAAGUGUUUCAAUUAUGAUAUUGUAUCUUAUUAAAUUAUUUUCUGAAAAGAUCAUUGAUCAUAUAUUAAUUCCUUUAGUCGCUUGGAUUAAUUAAAAGAUAUAUUAGCUUAAUUUAAGAGCAUAGAAGCCCCAAACGUUGAAUUUAUGUUCCCAUAUUAAUGAUAUGAUAAUCAAAUUGAAAAUGUAAAGAUGGGAUGCACUUUUAAAAUUAUCAUUUCAAGCGAAAGGUAGAUAUCCUAUGCACCAUUGAAUUAAUGCAUCAAUUACCUUAUAAUAGAAUAUAUCAAAUUUUAAUUUUUUCAGUCAGCAACUGACCGAGUUUGACUGUUUUAUUUUUUAUUUUUGGUCAAUGAGCAUUGAUACGUGCUCGCCUAAAUAGAUCACUUCACGCGAGCAAGAGCUCGCCCGAUUAUAUUCCAACCGAUCCUUGAUAAAGAUUGGUUAAUUAAGAGAUAGAUAUCCACUCCAAUGCAACCUAUUUCCUUAUGUACUCGAUGUAGGACUCUUAUCUGUAUUGUAGUUAUUCAUUAAGCUAUGGACUCCUUUUGUGGUAAGCUUUAUCUCCUACAAUGAAGGAGAUGUGUUGUAAGUGAACUAUUCUACUAUAAAGUCUAUAAAUAUAAGGUAAUACAUAAUAAGAAAAGUGGGAAAUGCAAUUAUAACCCUCUAAACCCUUUUAUUUCUCUGUCUUUACCAAAUACUAACUUGUCCAUUAGAGUGCUUUUUCAGGUACCAUGUAAUCUAUAAGAAAAUCUUUAUAAAAAGACCACCAUGAAAAGAGAUCUCCAGACGAUCUUUAAGAAAAUCCUCAAAUAAGAUCUUCAAAGGAUAUCCUCUAAAGAAAUCUUCAAGAAACUCCAAAGAAGACCUUCAUCAAAGGAAAUCCUCUAAAGAACCCUUGAAGAAGAUCUUGAAAAGAUUUUCAUCAAGAGUAGAUAUCCAUGGAAAGGGAUCUAACUAAUGUCCAUUAACUAAUGUCCCUCUGGAAUCAACCCACUUCAAAUUAGUGAUAUCAGCACAAUUUCUGAUCAUUAUCAGCCGUUGCCUUAUGUACUCGAUGUAGGACUCUUAUCUGUAUUGUAGUUAUUCAUUAAGCUAUGGACUCCUUUUGUGGUAAGCUUUAUCUCCUACAAUGAAGGAGAUGUGUUGUAAGUGAACUAUUCUACUAUAAAGUCUAUAAAUAUAAGGUAAUACAUAAUAAGAAAAGUGGGAAAUGCAAUUAUAACCCUCUAAACCCUUUUAUUUCUCUGUCUUUACCAAAUACUAACUUGUCCAUUAGAGUGCUUUUUCAGGUACCAUGUAAUCUAUAAGAAAAUCUUUAUAAAAAGACCACCAUGAAAAGAGAUCUCCAGACGAUCUUUAAGAAAAUCCUCAAAUAAGAUCUUCAAAGGAUAUCCUCUAAAGAAAUCUUCAAGAAACUCCAAAGAAGACCUUCAUCAAAGGAAAUCCUCUAAAGAACCCUUGAAGAAGAUCUUGAAAAGAUUUUCAUCAAGAGUAGAUAUCCAUGGAAAGGGAUCUAACUAAUGUCCAUUAACUAAUGUCCCUCUGGAAUCAACCCACUUCAAAUUAGUGAUAUCAGCACAAUUUCUGAUCAUUAUCAGCCGUUGGUGAAUUUAUUAUAAUCUUUGCCAGCAAAUGAAAGCAUAAUCCUCGUCGGUCAUAGUAUUGGUGGGUUUGCAAUUUCUUAUGCAAUGGAGAGAUUUCCAAGUAAAAUUGCUUGUGCAGUUUUUAUUGCUGCCCUUAUGCCUGGUCCUUCCCUCAACGCCUCCACGGUUUAUCAAGAGGUAUAAUAUAUGACCUAUUUUUCAUAUGUUAAUAUUAUGCAAGUGAAAGCUGUGUGUAUUAGUAGGUCCAUAUGUUGAGAAGUGAAAGCUGUGUGUAUUAGUAGGUCCAUAUGUUGAGCUAACGUUCUUCUUUUGGUACUUUGGAAUUUUUUAAAGAGAAAAGAUUAUAUAAAUUUGAAUUAUAAGCUUCAACACCUAUGAGAUAUGCACCCAAUAAUUAGAAAACCUGAUGCCUUCUACUUAACAGUGUGGGAAUAACCACACCCUUCCUUUUUCGAGUUCUUCUUUUUAUGUUGUUAUAUGGUAAAUGAUAAUGUUUCCACUUGUAUGCUUAUCUUAAUCAUUUGAAAUGAUAAAAAG
RNAcentral lists this long non-coding RNA (3863 nucleotides) under Ricinus communis (castor bean). Its description in RNAcentral is "long non-coding RNA (RCOM_LNC001069)". The record is from RNAcentral. Lineage: Eukaryota; Viridiplantae; Streptophyta; Magnoliopsida; Malpighiales; Euphorbiaceae.